RNAcentral lists this ribosomal RNA (506 nucleotides) under uncultured bacterium. Its description in RNAcentral is "bacterial SSU rRNA". It matches the Rfam family "Bacterial small subunit ribosomal RNA", at positions 24 to 518 of the family's 1533-position model. The record is from RNAcentral.
UCAGGAUGAACGCUAGCUACAGGCUUAACACAUGCAAGUCGAGGGGCAGCAUGGUCUUAGCUUGCUAAGGCUGAUGGCGACCGGCGCACGGGUGAGUAACGCGUAUCCAACCUCCCCUUAGUAGGGCAUAGCCCGGCGAAAGUCGGAUUAACACCCUAUGUUUUCCGUUGCGGGCAUCUAAUAUGGAACAAAGAUUUAUCGCUAAGGGAUGGGGAUGCGUCUGAUUAGGUAGUAGGCGGGGUAACGGCCCACCUAGCCCUCGAUCAGUAGGGGUUCUGAGAGGAAGGUCCCCCACAUUGGAACUGAGACACGGUCCAAACUCCUACGGGAGGCAGCAGUGAGGAAUAUUGGUCAAUGGCCGAGAGGCUGAACCAGCCAAGUAGCGUGCAGGAACCGACGGCCCUAUGGGUUGUAAACUGCUUUUAUGCGGGGAUAAAGUCGCCCACGUGUGGGUGUCUGCAGGUACCGCAUGAAUAAGGACCGGCUAAUUCCGUGCCAGCAGCAGC